AAGUCGUAACAAGGUCUCCGUUGGUGAACCAGCGGAGGGAUCAUUACUGAGUUUUUGUACUCUACAAACCAUGUGUGAACAUACCCUUCUUCUAUAAGACGAACGCUGCUUUGGUGGUUUUGAGCCCCGUUUCCUGUUAAAAAGGGAAGAAGGGGGGCAAACUCUAAGCUGCCGGCAGCAUAGUCUUACCACUAAAACUCUUUUAUUUUUUUUACUAGAAAUUUGAUUUCAUUGCUGAGUGGCAUAAACUAUAAAAAGUUAAAA
This 264-nucleotide unclassified non-coding RNA is filed under the name plant metagenome. RNAcentral's name for it is "partial contains small subunit ribosomal RNA and internal transcribed spacer 1". The stretch from base 1 to 46 matches the Rfam family "Eukaryotic small subunit ribosomal RNA", at positions 1786 to 1831 of the family's 1831-position model. The record is from RNAcentral.